Molecule: ribosomal RNA, 459 nt
Filed under: uncultured bacterium
Lineage: Bacteria
Description: partial 16S ribosomal RNA
Rfam family: Bacterial small subunit ribosomal RNA
Source: RNAcentral
CUACGGGUGGCUGCAGUGAGGAAUAUUGGUCAAUGGGCGCAAGCCUGAACCAGCCAUCCCGCGUGAAGGAUGACGGUCCUAUGGAUUGUAAACUUCUUUUGUGUACCAAGAAACUUGCUUACGGGUAAGCAACUGACGGUAGUACACGAAUAAGCACCGGCUAACUCGUGCCAGCAGCCGCGGUAAUACGGACGGGUGCAAGCGUUAUCCGGAUUUAUUGGGUUUAAAGGGUACGUAGGUGGCCAAUUAAGUCAGUGGUGAAAUCCUGCAGCUUAACUGUAGAAAUGCCAUUGAUACUGGUUGGCUUGAGUAUAGUUGAGGUAGGCGGAAUGUGUAGUGUAGCGGUGAAAUGCUUAGAUAUUACACAGAACUCCUAUUGCGAAGGCAGCUUACUAAACUAUUACUGACGCUGAGGUACGAAAGCGUGGGGAGCGAACAGGAUUAGAUACCCCAGUAGUC